This 575-nucleotide ribosomal RNA is filed under the name Malthopsis annulifera. Its description in RNAcentral is "partial 16S large subunit ribosomal RNA". It matches the Rfam family "Bacterial large subunit ribosomal RNA", at positions 1816 to 2595 of the family's 2925-position model. The record is from RNAcentral. Lineage: Eukaryota; Metazoa; Chordata; Actinopteri; Lophiiformes; Ogcocephalidae.
GCCUCUUGCCACAAAUAACAUAAGAGGUCCCGCCUGCCCUGUGACUCUAGGAGUUUAACGGCUGCGGUAUUUUGACCGUGCAAAGGUAGCGCAAUCACUUGUCUUUUAAAUAAAGACCUGUAUGAAUGGCAUGACGAGGGCUUAGCUGUCUCCUUUCCCCAGUCAAUGAAAUUGAUCUCCCCGUGAAGAAGCGGGGAUAUAACUAUAAGACGAGAAGACCCUGUGGAGCUUUAAACACCAGGGGAGCCCAUGUCAAGCACCUCCAGUAAAUAGAGAUGAAACAAAAUGAAUACUCCCCUAAUGUUUUUGGUUGGGGCGACCGCGGGGAAAUAAAAAACCCCCACGUGGAACGGGAAUACCCCUCCUACAACUAAGAGCUACCGCUCUAAUUAACGGAACAUCCGACCAACAAUGAUCCGGCCAAGCCGAUCAACGGACCGAGUUACCCCAGGGAUAACAGCGCAAUCCCCUUUUAGAGACCUUAUCGCCAAGGGGGUUUACGACCUCGAUGUUGGAUCAGGACAUCCUAAUGGUGCAGCCGCUAUUAAGGGUUCGUUUGUUCAACGAUUAAAGUC